Molecule: ribosomal RNA, 301 nt
Filed under: uncultured bacterium
Lineage: Bacteria
Description: partial 16S ribosomal RNA
Rfam family: Bacterial small subunit ribosomal RNA
Source: RNAcentral
CAGCAGCCACGGUAAUACAGAGGGUGCGAGCGUUAAUCGGAUUUACUGGGCGUAAAGCGUGCGUAGGCGGCUUUUUAAGUCGGAUGUGAAAUCCCUGAGCUUAACUUAGAAAUUGCAUUCGAUACUGGGAAGCUAGAGUAUGGGAGAGGAUGGUAGAAUUCCAGGUGUAGCGGUGAAAUGCGUAGAGAUCUGGAGGAAUACCGAUGGCGAAGGCAGCCAUCUGGCCUAAUACUGACGCUGAGGUACGAAAGCAUGGGGAGCAAACAGGAUUAGAUACCCCGGUAGUCCCUGUCUCUUAUAC